Pelobates cultripes (western spadefoot toad) is the source of this 85-nucleotide non-coding RNA. NCBI's taxonomy places the organism in Eukaryota, Metazoa, Chordata, Amphibia, Anura, Pelobatidae. The record is from the annotation of a GenBank genome assembly.
GUGUGUGUGUGUGUGUGUGUGUGUGUAUUCAGCAGUCUGCUAGUGUGUAUUCAGCAGUCUGCUAAAUACACAUACAGACAGACUG